RNAcentral lists this non-coding RNA (29 nucleotides) under Rattus norvegicus (Norway rat). The record is from RNAcentral. Lineage: Eukaryota; Metazoa; Chordata; Mammalia; Rodentia; Muridae.
UGGUCACAAAAGAAAAGGACAUUCGUUAC